RNAcentral lists this ribosomal RNA (292 nucleotides) under uncultured bacterium. RNAcentral describes it as "partial 16S ribosomal RNA". It matches the Rfam family "Bacterial small subunit ribosomal RNA", at positions 505 to 796 of the family's 1533-position model. The record is from RNAcentral.
GUGUCAGCCGCCGCGGUAAGACGUAGGGGGCCAGCGUUGCUCGGAAUUACUGGGCGUAAAGGGUCCGUAGGCGGUGCGGCAAGUCGGGAGUGAAAUCCUGGGGCUUAACUCCGGGGCUGCUUCCGAAACUGCUGUGCUAGAGUGCGAGAGAGGCGAGUGGAAUUGCGGGUGUAGCGGUGAAAUGCGUAGAUAUCCGCAGGAACACCAGUGGCGAAAGCGGCUCGCUGGAUCGCAACUGACGCUGAGGGACGAAAGCUAGGGGAGCAAACAGGAUUAGAUACCCCCGUAGUCC